UACGUAGGGGGCUAGCGUUAUCCGGAAUUAUUGGGCGUAAAGAGCUCGUAGGCGGUUUGUCGCGUCUGCCGUGAAAGUCCGGGGCUCAACUCCGGAUCUGCGGUGGGUACGGGCAGACUAGAGUGAUGUAGGGGAGACUGGAAUUCCUGGUGUAGCGGUGAAAUGCGCAGAUAUCAGGAGAAACACCGAUGGCGAAGGCAGGUCUCUGGGCAUUAACUGACGCUGAGGAGCGAAAGCAUGGGGAGCGAACAGG
RNAcentral lists this ribosomal RNA (253 nucleotides) under uncultured bacterium. RNAcentral describes it as "partial 16S ribosomal RNA". It matches the Rfam family "Bacterial small subunit ribosomal RNA", at positions 524 to 776 of the family's 1533-position model. The record is from RNAcentral.